This 404-nucleotide ribosomal RNA is filed under the name Actinomycetes bacterium. RNAcentral's name for it is "Actinobacteria bacterium partial 16S ribosomal RNA". It matches the Rfam family "Bacterial small subunit ribosomal RNA", at positions 355 to 776 of the family's 1533-position model. Lineage: Bacteria; Bacillati; Actinomycetota; Actinomycetes. The record is from RNAcentral.
UGGGGAAUAUUGGACAAUGGGCGAAAGCCUGAUCCUGCCAUGCCGCGUGAGUGAUGAAGGCCCUAGGGUUGUAAAGCUCUUUUGUGCGGGAAGAUAAUGACGGUACCGCAAGAAUAAGCCCCGGCUAACUUCGUGCCAGCAGCCGCGGUAAUACGAAGGGGGCUAGCGUUGCUCUGAAUCACUGGGCGUAAAGGGUGCGUAGGCGGGUCUUUAAGUCAGGGGUGAAAUCCUGGAGCUCAACUCCAGAACUGCCUUUGAUACUGAAGAUCUUGAGUUCGGGAGAGGUGAGUGGAACUGCGAGUGUAGAGGUGAAAUUCGUAGAUAUUCGCAAGAACACCAGUGGCGAAGGCGGCUCACUGGCCCGAUACUGACGCUGAGGCACGAAAGCGUGGGGAGCAAACAGG